This 404-nucleotide ribosomal RNA is filed under the name uncultured prokaryote. RNAcentral describes it as "bacterial SSU rRNA". It matches the Rfam family "Bacterial small subunit ribosomal RNA", at positions 355 to 776 of the family's 1533-position model. RNAcentral also lists the same sequence under 1 other name. The record is from RNAcentral.
UGGGGAAUAUUGGGCAAUGGGGGGAACCCUGACCCAGCAACGCCGCGUGAAGGAAGAAGGUUUUCGGAUCGUAAACUUCUAUCCUUGGUGAAGAUAAUGACGGUAGCCAAGAAGGAAGCCCCGGCUAACUACGUGCCAGCAGCCGCGGUAAUACGUAGGGGGCAAGCGUUGUCCGGAAUGAUUGGGCGUAAAGGGCGCGUAGGCGGCCUGGUAAGUCUGGAGUGAAAGUCCUGCUUUUGAGGUGGGAAUUGCUUUGGAUACUGCUGGGCUUGAGUGCAGGAGAGGUAAGUGGAAUUCCCGGUGUAGCGGUGAAAUGCGUAGAGAUCGGGAGGAACACCAGUGGCGAAGGCGACUUACUGGACUGUAACUGACGCUGAGGCGCGAAAGUGUGGGGAGCAAACAGG